This 497-nucleotide ribosomal RNA is filed under the name uncultured bacterium. RNAcentral's name for it is "partial 16S ribosomal RNA". It matches the Rfam family "Bacterial small subunit ribosomal RNA", at positions 28 to 507 of the family's 1533-position model. The record is from RNAcentral.
GAUGAACGCUGGCGGCGUGCCUAAUACAUGCAAGUCGAGCGAACAGACGAGGAGCUUGCUCCUCUGACGUUAGCGGCGGACGGGUGAGUAACACGUGGAUAACCUACCUAUAAGACUGGGAUAACUUCGGGAAACCGGAGCUAAUACCGGAUAAUAUAUUGAACCGCAUGGUUCAAUAGUGAAAGACGGUUUUGCUGUCACUUAUAGAUGGAUCCGCGCCGCAUUAGCUAGUUGGUAAGGUAACGGCUUACCAAGGCAACGAUGCGUAGCCGACCUGAGAGGGUGAUCGCCCACCCUGGAACUGAGACACGGUCCAGACUCCUACGGGAGGCAGCAGUAGGGAAUCUUCCGCAAUGGGCGAAAGCUUGACGGAGCAACGCCGCGUGAGUGAUGAAGGUCUUCGGAUCGUAAAACUCUGUUAUUAGGGAAGAACAAAUGUGUAAGUAACUAUGCACGUCUUGACGGUACCUAAUCAGAAAGCCACGGCUAACUACGUG